Molecule: non-coding RNA, 269 nt
Organism: Pelobates cultripes (western spadefoot toad)
Lineage: Eukaryota; Metazoa; Chordata; Amphibia; Anura; Pelobatidae
Source: the annotation of a GenBank genome assembly
GAAUGCAGUGUGUGCGUGUGUGUAGUGUGUGUGUAUAUAAUGAAUGCAGUGUGUGUGUGUGUAGUGUGUGUGUAUAUAAUGAAUGCAGUGUGUGUGUGUAUAUAAUGAAUGCAGUGUGUGUGUAUAUAAUGAAUGCAGUGUGUGUGUAGUGUGUGUAUGUAUAUAAUGAAUGCAGUGUGUGUGUAGUGUGUGUAUGUAUAUAAUGAAUGUAGUGUGUGUGUUUAUGCAGUGUGUGUGUAUAUAAUGAAUGUAUUUUGGGUGGAGGGGGU